RNAcentral lists this long non-coding RNA (306 nucleotides) under Volvox carteri. RNAcentral describes it as "long non-coding RNA (VCAR_LNC002043)". The record is from RNAcentral. Lineage: Eukaryota; Viridiplantae; Chlorophyta; Chlorophyceae; Chlamydomonadales; Volvocaceae.
GGCUGGGCCACCCCGUAGAGGACUGCGGCAUCCUCACGACCAUCACCAGCAACAGCAACAGCAGCAUUAUCAGCAGCAACAGCAGGAGCAACAGCAGGAGCAACAGCACCACACCAGCAGGAGCAGUAGCAGGAACACCAGCAGCAGGAUUGUCGUACCGUAUCCAUGCUGCUGGAUGCGGGAAAAUUUGCCUUUUGAAGAUGGAGGAAAAAACUUCCCAUGGACUUGUACGAGUGCCGUACAAAACAUCUGCCCAUGUCAAGCAUUUUCUCAGGCACACAAGCCUCGCAAACACACACCGGCCGG